Molecule: long non-coding RNA, 998 nt
Organism: Zea mays
Lineage: Eukaryota; Viridiplantae; Streptophyta; Magnoliopsida; Poales; Poaceae
Exons: 2
Source: RefSeq, a predicted model, not a curated record
AUUCUCCCCAUGCCAAUAUUCCAUCUCCUUGUCUCCUCUUUGUUCUUCCGUGAAGCAGCCGCCCUCCUCAAUUUCCUCACGCCGCGCUCCCUGGCUCCCUGCCCAGAGCGCUGGUCUGCGCCCCCCUCCCUGCAUCGCCCCCACCAGUUCGCCCUCAUCUGGCAUGCCGUGCCGCCGCCCUGGAGCUCGCCCCUGCUCUCAACCCCUCUCCCCUUCGUCCCUGCGUUUGACCGCACCUGUCGGACCCGCCCCCUUGCCCCUGCGCGCUUGCCAUGGGUGAUGUCCACUGGCCUCCCUGGCAAGCUCUUCCUCACGCCGCUCCAAGCCACCGCGACCCCAAGUGCUCGCCACCUUCUGCAGUUCGUCCACCUCCCAGCGUUCCCUGCUCCUUGUUUCUAUGCCCAGCCGAGCUCCUCAGCCCCAUGGUGGUGCCCUGCUGCCUCCAUCCCCUGGCGUGCCAUCUCUCUAUGCUCGGUCGACGUCCCCAGUGCCUAACGCACGUCCCUCUGUACCGAGAGAUGAUGAUCGUGUGAAGUGAAGGACGUGAAGGGGGGUGGACCACAAGAUGAAGUUGGUGGACAACCCGAAGAAGGAUGGACUGAAAAAGUGGAUGCUCGUCGAGUGAUUACCCUCUAGCAAACACUAGCUAGUGUUGGAUUCUAGGCAAGUCCCGGUUUUAUGCAUAACCGUUAUUAUGCUAUUUUACUGCAAUUAUUUUUGUAGGCUUGUAUUGUGCAUUAAGUAUAGAUGUUGUUUGAAAUCCUAGAUGCAUUGAAUUCAAGUUCCUUUAUGAGAUGAAUACUAGCAUACUAGGUUUAGUAGUAGCUUUGCUAAAUAAGGAUUUCGAUAAAGUCGAGUGAUUUUUCUAGCACACACGUGAGGUCAAGAAAUUGACUGUAUCCUUUUUGAUAUCAGGAUUACGAUUGUCUGUGGACACGGAUUCCUAGGGAAUGCCCUGUCUAUGAGACGGAAUUGGAAUAAGGAUUAAUGUGCGGAUA